GCCAGCCCGCUCAGAAACUCAAGGAAUUGACGGGGCCCGCACAAGCGGAGGAGCAUGUGGUUUAAUUCGAUGAUACGCGAGGAACCUUACCUGGGCUCGAACGUAAGAUGACUGUAGGUGAAAGCUUACAUCUCUUCGGAGCAUUUUACGAGGUGCUGCAUGGUUGUCGUCAGCUCGUGCCGUGAGGUGUCGGGUUAAGUCCCAUAACGAGCGCAACCCCUACCUUUAGUUGCCAUCAGGUAAUGCUGGGGACUCUAAAGGAACUGCCUACGCAAGUAGUGAGGAAGGCGGGGAUGACGUCAAAUCAGCACGGCCCUUACGUCCAGGGCUACACACGUGCUACAAUGGCCGAUACAGAGGGCAGCUACCUGGUGACAGGAUGCAAAUCUCCAAAGUCGGUCUCAGUUCGGAUCGGAGUCUGCAACCCGACUCCGUGAAGUUGGAUUCGCUAGUAAUCGCGCAUCAGCCAUGGCGCGGUGAAUACGUUCCCGGGCCUU
RNAcentral lists this ribosomal RNA (497 nucleotides) under uncultured Sphingobacteriales bacterium. RNAcentral's name for it is "bacterial SSU rRNA". It matches the Rfam family "Bacterial small subunit ribosomal RNA", at positions 904 to 1382 of the family's 1533-position model. Lineage: Bacteria; Pseudomonadati; Bacteroidota; Sphingobacteriia; Sphingobacteriales. The record is from RNAcentral.